CCUACGGGAGGCAGCAGUAGGGAAUCUUCGGCAAUGGGCGAAAGCCUGACCGAGCAACGCCGCGUGAAUGAAGAAGGCCUUCGGGUUGUAAAAUUCUGUUAUAAGGGAAGAAAGGUGAUAGGAGGAAAUGACUAUCAAUUGACGGUACCUUAUGAGAAAGCCACGGCUAACUACGUGCCAGCAGCCGCGGUAAUACGUAGGUGGCAAGCGUUAUCCGGAAUUAUUGGGCGUAAAGAGCGCGCAGGUGGUUAAUUAAGUCUGAUGUGAAAGCCCACGGCUUAACCGUGGAGGGUCAUUGGAAACUGGUUGACUUGAGUGCAGAAGAGGGAAGUGGAAUUCCAUGUGUAGCGGUGAAAUGCGUAGAGAUAUGGAGGAACACCAGUGGCGAAGGCGGCUUCCUGGUCUGCAACUGACACUGAGGCGC
This 424-nucleotide ribosomal RNA is filed under the name uncultured Pantoea sp. Its description in RNAcentral is "bacterial SSU rRNA". It matches the Rfam family "Bacterial small subunit ribosomal RNA", at positions 338 to 754 of the family's 1533-position model. Lineage: Bacteria; Pseudomonadati; Pseudomonadota; Gammaproteobacteria; Enterobacterales; Erwiniaceae. The record is from RNAcentral.